Molecule: non-coding RNA, 201 nt
Organism: Vicia faba (fava bean)
Lineage: Eukaryota; Viridiplantae; Streptophyta; Magnoliopsida; Fabales; Fabaceae
Source: the annotation of a GenBank genome assembly
AUGGUUUACCUAUAUCACCCCAUGCAUAGCAUGACAUCAUACCAUUGCAUACGUCCUAACCCAUUUCAAGGAUCUCAAGGGCUUGUGAUGCAGGUCAUGAUGAAUCAACUAUCCCAGCAAGGGGCAAAGAAGAUUUAUUUUCCUCUAGACCAGGUUGUCAGGGGCUAUGACCCACUUGAUAUGGUGAGCUUUGACACCUAA